AGAUAGUCCUGGCAUUAUGUGAGUGACACUCUGAGCAGGUGAACUAUCAAUCUGAAGUGAAAAUGGUCUGUGGAAACAGGGAGUUUUCUUUUUAGAGCUAUUCAAAAUCACAGAGAGAACAGACCAAAGCUUCAGAAGAACCUUCAGAAGACCCAUGAAGAGCAAUUAAAGGAUGGAAACCUCUUCUCUCAAUAUUUUAACAUGAAGACAACUGACAGACACAGAAACUGACAGACACAGAAGAAAGAUAAGUUUGUUUUAAUGAAACAAAUUGCUUGUUCUGCUUUUAUGGCCAUUUAUUUAUUUUUAAAGCCUGUAAUAGUCAUGUAAUAAAUGAUCUGUUACAAUAUUAUAUGUUAAAAUAAUAUUGUGAGUCCUACUGAUUCUAUCUAGAAAUAAUAAUCAUAUAUACAUUUAUUGCAUAGUUAAACAGUAUGUGUUUAAUUUGUAAAGUGGCAUAAUUAUUAUUUAUCUUCCAAUUUUAUUUGUUAGACAUUUUUUAUUCGUAAUAUUUUUUUAUUUAAUAUUGAUUUUUUUGUCUUUUGAGGACCUUCGUUAGAAGGCUCGUCAUCACAUAUACGUUUAUUAUACUGUUAAACAAUAUGUGUUUAAUUUAUGACAUAAUAAAAGUGCCAUAAUUGUUAUAUAUUUAUAUUACAAUUUUAUUUAUUAGGCGUAUUUUUUUAUUCAUAUUAACGUUUUUAAAUAUUAUUAUUAUUUUUUUGUCUUUUGAGGACCUUAGGAGACACCCUUGUUGUCAUUUAACGGAAAACACAGCUCUUAUGGGUUCAUUAUUGUGUAUCCCCCAUCAAGCCACAGCAGAUCAAAUUAAGACUUCUGAUCAGUGUGUAGAGAACCCUAAAGGAUCGGGUGGAAUGAUAAUAUAUGACUCGGAGACAUUCACCAUGAGCAAACAACACUUGGUUGCAGUUCGUGAUGAUAGAGGGGCAAACUCUGUCAGACCAAUUCUGUUGUAACGGCAGGUGAAGACAAGAGAAAUGCCUCACAAGACUCAUCAUGAAGUGAUGAUGAAGAUGAAUUAAAUAAAGGCAUUUAACC
This is a long non-coding RNA of Labeo rohita (rohu), 1059 nucleotides long. RefSeq lists it as uncharacterized. NCBI's taxonomy places the organism in Eukaryota, Metazoa, Chordata, Actinopteri, Cypriniformes, Cyprinidae. The transcript is spliced from 5 exons. The record is from RefSeq and is a predicted model, not a curated record.